RNAcentral lists this ribosomal RNA (2072 nucleotides) under Triticum aestivum (bread wheat). RNAcentral describes it as "partial small subunit ribosomal RNA". The record is from RNAcentral. Lineage: Eukaryota; Viridiplantae; Streptophyta; Magnoliopsida; Poales; Poaceae.
AAUUUUCGGCGGGUGGCAGCUCACCACGGCCUCUCGUCUCGUCUUCGUGAGAGCAACAAGGAGACGCUGGCGUGCUCGAUCUCUUUUUGUCGACGGCGGCCCUCCUCGCCUCUUUUUAUAGGGGUUAGGGAGCGGAGGCUAUUUGGGAUCGGUCGUGGGAGCGGCCUAACGGCGGCCCUCGGGCGGCUUAGCCUCGAGCGCCUCACGCAACGUAGACGAGCGGCCUCGUCGGCGCGGCGCCAGCCAGCCAGCCAGCCCGCCCCUUAACGCCCCUCAAAAGCCCGCCAAGGGACCGGAGGGUCCGCGAGCGGCCGCAGCCUAGGCCGCCUCUCGCGCCCAAGACCCGCCCAGAGCCAGGCUAAACGAGCGGACCCAAUCAACAAGCAGGCGCGCGCCGACGCCGCCACCACCGCUGGCCGCCGACUCCAUACAUUUUCUAACCACCUAAGGUGAGCGGGCCAAGAAGUAAACUCCAGGGGAAGCUAACAACUACCACUAAAACGACGUACAACGAAGUUAGGGAACUGUAAAGUAGGUACAGAGACUACAAAGGGCAGGCACGAGACUCGACAAGGAGAAGAGGAAGGGAAGUCCGCCAGCGCAGCGCAGCUAAACCGCCCGCCAACGACGGUAACGCGCUCGGUAGGCUUCUCGGUUCCAGCUCGUCGGACAAGAACGGGUAAGGGCCGUUAGAACCACGGCAAACAAGGCGCCCCACCCACCCGCCCGCCGCGUCUUCCGCACUGGAAGGCCGCCGCGCUACGAAGGGUUCCGGGCUUAGGUGCGCCUGGGCCGCGAGCUCGAGCUCGAGCUGGACAAGCUGACGGACGGCCUGAGCGAGCAGGACGAGUAGGAGUUGUUCCACCUCCUGCACGCAAGGGAGCCGGCGACGAGGCGGCGCAGGUUCGCCAAGUUGCCCGAGCACGGGGUGCAGGUGCUGCAGACGCAGUUCUAGCUGGCGCAGCACCGCCAGCUGCCGCUGCCGCUCCUGCGGGAGUUGGACUGGAGCGGGUUCGGGGCCUUGUAGGAGAGGGUGAAGGAGUUCGACUACGAGAAGUGCUAGUAGUUCGGGAAGGUGUUGCGCGCGCCGGGGUUGCCGCGGCCCGCCGGCGAGAAGGGCGUCGAGCGCGUGGUGAGCGGCCGCGUCCACGAUGCCUCGAAGUGCGUGCAAGCCUUGGAAGUGUAGCUCGAGGGAAGGCCCCUACAGCCCUGGCUCCUGCCCCACGAGGACUUUACCGCCCGUCUCAUGCCCUCGUGCGAAGUCUUGACGCACUAGGAGCCCCCGUGGUCCCAACUGGCGUUCGGACAACCGCGUCUCGUGCUCGGCAGAAGCCUCCUGUUACCCUCGUACGGCCUCAGAAAGAUAUGGUUACCGCCCGAGUUCGAGGCACAGCACACCUGUUAGUCGAGGGAGUAGCGUCGUAGCUGCUCCGUAAUAGAAGAGGCCAGCUAGUAGUUCCUCGUGCGGUGUGAACACUCGAACCACGACUGGCUACGGCUACCAGUCCCGUGCGACUGGUACCCUCGUCUCGUCGACUUCCUCAAGUCUCUCUUGGUUGACAGCCGGAGUCGUACGAGGUUGUCCUGGGUCCAGGGCCGGACGUUGUACUUCGACUUUAUGCGCGGUAUAGAGCUCGACGGGCCUCCUUAGCGCAACGUCCCACGAUGUGACCAACGAUAGUUCGGGAGGUGGCUCCCUUCGUUACCGCCGGUACAGUCGGCGUUCCUUUGCCUGCGCAAGUAGAGACCUCGUAAACUACCCGGUAAGUUUAAGCGACGGUUCCGCGACUACUUCUCCGCGUGUAUGGAAGACCUCUACUUACCGAAGAUCCUCAAGAAGGCCCCAUAGACGAACGACCACGUUCUUCCCAGCAAACCGACGAAAUUGAAAACCAGACACAUUAUCAGACACGAACAACAGACCACACAAUCGAGAAACAUGUCACCACUGUAGACCAAUCGAUAUACUUUUUGUAUAGUUUAGUCAUGUAAAAGAGUAACGAGGGGAAGAGAUUGCUGUGAGACUACACUAGAUUGGGAGUAUGUUCGACGAAAAAAAAACAAUUACGUUC